This 24-nucleotide non-coding RNA is filed under the name Arabidopsis thaliana (thale cress). Lineage: Eukaryota; Viridiplantae; Streptophyta; Magnoliopsida; Brassicales; Brassicaceae. The record is from RNAcentral.
UGCCACUCUUUAUCGUCGUCUAGC